GAGAAUUGUGGUUGUACUGGUUUCUUUAUUUUAUUAAAUGAAUGCUACACUCUGUACACAACCAAUUUCACAAUUUUCCGUAAUCAGCUCUGCUUCUCGAAUUCUCUAAAGUUCACGACAUCUCCAAACCGAAACCCUUGCUCAACAUACCCAUCUCCAUUUUCCAUCUAUUCUCCACACACACCACUGAUUCUUUGUCCUCGCCAGCAGCCUGAUCCUUCUCAUCCUCGACGCCAGCUCCAUCUCCUCUCCUACACCCAGGUCGCGUGUUGCGAGUCCUGUUUCCAGCCUGAAAUUCUCAACAUCUCGACUCCAAUCGUGACAGCACCUUCAAUGCCUUGCCGUACUACUCGAAGCGGAGACUGAUCACUCCUUCACCGGAUUCACCAUCGAAUCAUUGGGCCGAAGACAGGGUUGAGCCUUCAAUUUCUGUUAUGCCAUUUCUGUUCAUCCUCGUGAAAAGUAAAUAAAUAAAAGGAGCUGGUGCACUUAUAACCAUUGGUGUGGCUUGUAUAUAAAUUGGGUAGUUAUUAAUAUGAACACUGUAAUAUACAUAUUUUAGAUGACUUCUGUAAUAUAAAUUUUUUAAAUUAUUUAAUAUACAUAUUUUAAAUGAA
Manihot esculenta (cassava) is the source of this 617-nucleotide long non-coding RNA. RefSeq lists it as uncharacterized. The transcript has 2 exons. NCBI's taxonomy places the organism in Eukaryota, Viridiplantae, Streptophyta, Magnoliopsida, Malpighiales, Euphorbiaceae. The record is from RefSeq and is a predicted model, not a curated record.